ACCUAAAGUGGAGGAAGGUGGGGAUGACGUCAAAUCAGCACGGCCCUUACGUCCAGGGCUACACACGUGUUACAAUGGCCGGUACAGAGGGCAGCCACCCCGCGAGGGGGCGCGAAUACCCGAAAGCCGGUCCCAGUUCGGAUCGGAGUCUGCAACCCGACUCCGUGAAGCUGGAUUCGCUAGUAAUCGCGCAUCAGCCACGGCGCGGUGAAUACGUUCCCGGGCCUU
This 228-nucleotide ribosomal RNA is filed under the name uncultured Rikenellaceae bacterium. Its description in RNAcentral is "partial 16S ribosomal RNA". It matches the Rfam family "Bacterial small subunit ribosomal RNA", at positions 1154 to 1382 of the family's 1533-position model. The record is from RNAcentral. Lineage: Bacteria; Pseudomonadati; Bacteroidota; Bacteroidia; Bacteroidales; Rikenellaceae.